CUAAUACCGGAUAACACUCUGUCCUGCAUGGGACGGGGUUAAAAGCUCCGGCGGUGAAGGAUGAGCCCGCGGCCUAUCAGCUUGUUGGUGGGGUAAUGGCCUACCAAGGCGACGACGGGUAGCCGGCCUGAGAGGGCGACCGGCCACACUGGGACUGAGACACGGCCCAGACUCCUACGGGAGGCAGCAGUGGGGAAUAUUGCACAAUGGGCGAAAGGCUGAUGCAGCGACGCCGCGUGAGGGAUGACGGCCUUCGGGUUGUAAACCUCUUUCAGCAGGGAAGAAGCGAAAGUGACGGUACCUGCAGAAGAAGCGCCGGCUAACUACGUGCCAGCAGCCGCGGUAAUACGUAGGGCGCAAGCGUUGUCCGGAAUUAUUGGGCGUAAAGAGCUCGUAGGCGGCUUGUCACGUCGGAUGUGAAAGCCCGGGGCUUAACCCCGGGUCUGCAUUCGAUACGGGCUAGCUAGAGUGUGGUAGGGG
This 480-nucleotide ribosomal RNA is filed under the name uncultured bacterium. RNAcentral's name for it is "bacterial SSU rRNA". It matches the Rfam family "Bacterial small subunit ribosomal RNA", at positions 163 to 657 of the family's 1533-position model. The record is from RNAcentral.